GUGUCGCGUCCCACAACCCUGCAGAGAGAUAUUUAAGCAUUUCCCUGUCAGCCUCACACACAAGAGGUGAAGGCAACAGUGACUUAUAUUGGACAUCGUGAAGUUACAGUAGAGGAAUUUCACGUGCAAAGAAAGGAGUGAAAAACAGGCAGAGCAGAGAGAAAACAUAUGAAGGUUUUUGGAGUUCUUUUAAGUGCACCAACACCUUUAGGAGUGCACC
This is a long non-coding RNA of Pipra filicauda (Wire-tailed manakin), 220 nucleotides long. RefSeq lists it as uncharacterized. NCBI's taxonomy places the organism in Eukaryota, Metazoa, Chordata, Aves, Passeriformes, Pipridae. The transcript is spliced from 3 exons. The record is from RefSeq and is a predicted model, not a curated record.